RNAcentral lists this transfer RNA (87 nucleotides) under Bacillota bacterium. RNAcentral describes it as "Firmicutes bacterium (gut metagenome) tRNA-Leu". It matches the Rfam family "tRNA". Rfam says of the family: Transfer RNA (tRNA) molecules are approximately 80 nucleotides in length. Their secondary structure includes four short double-helical elements and three loops (D, anti-codon, and T loops). Lineage: Bacteria; Bacillati; Bacillota. The record is from RNAcentral.
GCCGCCGUGGUGAAACUGGCAGACACGCGGGACUUAGAAUCCCGUGGCAGAAAUGCCGUAGCGGUUCAAAUCCGCUCGGCGGCACCA